Small nuclear RNA from Salvia splendens (bonfire salvia), 160 nucleotides. RefSeq annotates it as U1 spliceosomal RNA. NCBI's taxonomy places the organism in Eukaryota, Viridiplantae, Streptophyta, Magnoliopsida, Lamiales, Lamiaceae. The transcript has a single exon. The record is from RefSeq and is a predicted model, not a curated record.
AUACUUACCUGGACCGGGUUGAUGGGCGACCAUAAGGCCCAUGGCCUAGAUUGGCGACUUCCAUUGCACUCAGGAGGGGCGCCUGUUUAAGGUCGGCCCAACUGGUCGAGCCUAUGUCAUAAUUUGUGUUAGAGGGGUCCUGCGUUCGCGCAGUCCCUGC